CCUACGGGAGGCAGCAGUGGGGGAUAUUGCACAAUGGGGGAAACCCUGAUGCAGCGACGCCGCGUGUGUGAAGAAGUACUUCGUUAUGGAAAGCUAUAGUAGCCGGGAACAAAAUGAAGGUAACUGAGUGAGAAGCCCCCGCCAACUACGUGCCAGCAGCCGCCGGAAUACGUAGGGGGGAAGCGUUAUCCGGGUAUAACGGGGGGAAAGGGAGCGUAAGCGGCAGUGGAAGUCUGGAGUGAAAGGCGGGGGCCCAAACCGCGGACUGCACUGGAAACUGUACGGCUGGAGUGCAGGAGAGGUAAGUGGAAUUCCUAGUGUAGCGGUGAAAUGCGUAGAUAUUAGGAGGAACACCAGUGGCGAAGGCGGAUUGCUGGACUGUAACUGACGUUGAGGCUCGAAAGCGUGGGGAGCAAACAGGAUUAGAUACCCGAGUAGUC
RNAcentral lists this ribosomal RNA (440 nucleotides) under uncultured bacterium. RNAcentral's name for it is "partial 16S ribosomal RNA". It matches the Rfam family "Bacterial small subunit ribosomal RNA", at positions 338 to 795 of the family's 1533-position model. The record is from RNAcentral.